Molecule: ribosomal RNA, 253 nt
Filed under: uncultured bacterium
Lineage: Bacteria
Description: partial 16S ribosomal RNA
Rfam family: Bacterial small subunit ribosomal RNA
Source: RNAcentral
UACGUAGGUGGCAAGCGUUGUCCGGAAUUAUUGGGCGUAAAGCGCGCGCAGGCGGUCUUUUAAGUCUGAUGUGAAAGCCCACGGCUCAACCGUGGAGGGUCAUUGGAAACUGGGAGACUUGAGUGCAGAAGAGAAGAGUGGAAUUCCACGUGUAGCGGUGAAAUGCGUAGAGAUUGGGUGGAACACCGGUGGCGAAGGCGGCUAUCUGGCUCACAACUGACGAUCAGGCACGAAAGCGUGGGGAGCAAACAGG